UGGGGAAUAUUGCGCAAUGGGCGAAAGCCUGACGCAGCGACGCCGCGUGAGGGAUGAAGGUUUUCGGAUUGUAAACCUCUGUCAGAAGGGAAGAAACCGCACUGUGCUAAUCAGCAGUGCCUUGACGGUACCUUCAAAGGAAGCACCGGCUAACUCCGUGCCAGCAGCCGCGGUAAUACGGAGGGUGCAAGCGUUAAUCGGAAUUACUGGGCGUAAAGCGCACGUAGGCUGCUUUGUAAGUCAGGGGUGAAAUCCCACGGCUCAACCGUGGAACUGCCUUUGAUACUGCUUAGCUUGAAUCCGGGAGAGGGUGGCGGAAUUCCAGGUGUAGGAGUGAAAUCCGUAGAUAUCUGGAGGAACAUCAGUGGCGAAGGCGGCCACCUGGACCGGUAUUGACGCUGAGGUGCGAAAGCGUGGGGAGCAAACAGG
This 429-nucleotide ribosomal RNA is filed under the name Fusobacteriota bacterium. RNAcentral's name for it is "Fusobacteria bacterium partial 16S ribosomal RNA". It matches the Rfam family "Bacterial small subunit ribosomal RNA", at positions 355 to 776 of the family's 1533-position model. The record is from RNAcentral. Lineage: Bacteria; Fusobacteriati; Fusobacteriota.